This 496-nucleotide ribosomal RNA is filed under the name uncultured Piloderma. RNAcentral describes it as "eukaryotic LSU rRNA". The stretch from base 110 to 264 matches the Rfam family "5.8S ribosomal RNA". Lineage: Eukaryota; Fungi; Basidiomycota; Agaricomycetes; Atheliales; Atheliaceae. The record is from RNAcentral.
AACCCAAUGUAAGGGCCCGUAAAAAGGCCCCUACGUCUUUAUCACCAACUCUGUAUUCAUAGAAUGUAAUCCAUAUCUUCGCCUUAACAAGCGUUGGUAAAACUUAUACAACUUUCAACAACGGAUCUCUUGGCUCUCGCAUCGAUGAAGAACGCAGCGAAAUGCGAUAAGUAAUGUGAAUUGCAGAUUUUCAGUGAAUCAUCGAAUCUUUGAACGCACCUUGCGCCCCUUGGUAUUCCGAGGGGCAUGCCUGUUUGAGUGUCAUUAAAUUCUCAACUCCGAUUUGAUUUGUUUCUUAUCGGAGCUUGGACUUUGGAGCGUGCUGGCGUAAGGUCGGCUCCUCUUAAAUGUAUCAGCGGAAUCUAACCUUUGAAUUCUGGACAUCGGUGUGAUAAUAAAAGUUGCGCCGUCGUUCUACUUCAAAGUCCGCUUACAAUGGUCUUUUGACAAACUCUUAUCAAAUUUGACCUCAAAUCACGUAGGACUACCCGCUGAA